This 1371-nucleotide ribosomal RNA is filed under the name Paenibacillus taichungensis. Its description in RNAcentral is "partial 23S ribosomal RNA". It matches the Rfam family "Bacterial large subunit ribosomal RNA", at positions 1551 to 2925 of the family's 2925-position model. Lineage: Bacteria; Bacillati; Bacillota; Bacilli; Caryophanales; Paenibacillaceae. The record is from RNAcentral.
UAAGGCUGGGCUGUAAUGGGGAGCGAAAAUUAUAGUAGCGAAGGUCAUGAUCUCACACUGCCAAGAAAAGCCUCUAGCCAGGUGAUGGUGCCCGUACCGCAAACCGACACAGGUAGGCGAGAAGAGAAUUCUAAGGCGCGCGGAAGAACUCUCGUUAAGGAACUCGGCAAAAUGACCCCGUAACUUCGGGAGAAGGGGUGCCCCGGUAGUGUGAAUAGCACGAGGGGGCCGCAGUGAAAAGGCCCAAGCGACUGUUUAGCAAAAACACAGGUCUGUGCGAAGCCGUAAGGCGAAGUAUACGGGCUGACGCCUGCCCGGUGCUGGAAGGUUAAGGGGAGCGGUUAGGAGCAAUCCGAAGCUGUGAACCGAAGCCCCAGUAAACGGCGGCCGUAACUAUAACGGUCCUAAGGUAGCGAAAUUCCUUGUCAGGUAAAUUCUGACCCGCACGAAUGGCGUAACGACUUGGGCGCUGUCUCAACGAGAGAUCCGGUGAAAUUUUAAUACCUGUGAAGAUGCAGGUUACCCGCGACAAGACGGAAAGACCCCAUGGAGCUUUACUGCAGCUUGAUAUUGAAUUUGGGUACGAUCUGUACAGGAUAGGUGGGAGCCUUUGAAGCAUGAGCGCCAGCUUGUGUGGAGGCACCGUUGGGAUACCACCCUGAUCGUAUCUAGGUUCUAACCUGGUACCGUAAUCCGGUGCGGGGACAGUGUCAGGUGGGCAGUUUGACUGGGGCGGUCGCCUCCUAAAGAGUAACGGAGGCGCCCAAAGGUUCCCUCAGAAUGGUUGGAAAUCAUUCGAAGAGUGCAAAGGCAUAAGGGAGCUUGACUGCGAGACCUACAAGUCGAGCAGGGACGAAAGUCGGGCUUAGUGAUCCGGUGGUACCGCAUGGAAGGGCCAUCGCUCAACGGAUAAAAGCUACCCUGGGGAUAACAGGCUUAUCUCCCCCAAGAGUCCACAUCGACGGGGAGGUUUGGCACCUCGAUGUCGGCUCAUCGCAUCCUGGGGCUGAAGUAGGUCCCAAGGGUUGGGCUGUUCGCCCAUUAAAGCGGUACGCGAGCUGGGUUCAGAACGUCGUGAGACAGUUCGGUCCCUAUCUGUCGUGGGCGUAGGAAAUUUGAGAGGAGCUGUCCUUAGUACGAGAGGACCGGGAUGGACGUACCGCUGGUGUACCAGUUGUUCCGCCAGGAGCACCGCUGGGUAGCUAUGUACGGAAGGGAUAAGCGCUGAAAGCAUCUAAGCGUGAAGCCCCCCUCAAGAUGAGAUUUCCCAGUAUGUAAGACCCCUUGAAGACGACGAGGUAGAUAGGCUGGGGGUGGAAGUGCAGCAAUGCAUGGAGCUGACCAGUACUAAUCGGUCGAGGGCUUAUCCAA